RNAcentral lists this long non-coding RNA (1042 nucleotides) under Piliocolobus tephrosceles (Ugandan red Colobus). RNAcentral's name for it is "lncRNA (ENSPTEG00000003982.1)". Lineage: Eukaryota; Metazoa; Chordata; Mammalia; Primates; Cercopithecidae. The record is from RNAcentral.
CCGCAGCCAUGUCCUCUUCCUGUUUGUUUUGUAGAGCAGACACUCCAUAAACGCUCAUAGCAGAAAUGAAUAAAUGGAUGAGUCUCAUUAUCACAUUGGCGGUGACAAUCUUCUGAUUGCUCAGAGGCUCCAGAAUUGGAUGUGUUUCUGGUACUGGAGGAUCUACUUAGGAGGCAGUACUUCUGAGAGUCUUCAUGGACCAUGGUGCUGCACGAGGUGCUGUGUUUGCAGAGUUUUUUUUUGCCCUUGAAGAGCACUUACGACUGGAGAGCAAGACACAUGCCGACACGCAGAAGCUGACGGGCUUGCGGCCACGUGGGAAAGUCCUCGGACGAGCUGUCUGCUUGCAGGGAGGUGUCUGCGGCUCAGGCACUUAAAGAAGACCCAAAAUUCAGUGAGCAAGUCCCCAUCAACCACCAGAAACAGAAAACAGGUGUGUUGUGCUGAGAGUCACAUGACCAAGGCUGGGCGGACUCCCCUCCCUGAGACGCCAAGAUAAACACACUCACAGCAUCGCCAUGGAAAUGGUGGCUUACAGUUCAAAUGCUCAGGAGGGGAUAGGAAAAAAAAUCGGGACAGCACCAUAGAGAACAAUUUUCCUUAUCAACUUCUGUGCUCCUCCCAAGGGCAGAGGACCUGCAAAUUACAUCACGGCCUCUUGAGUAGUUUCCACAAGGACCGAUGUUGAUGGGGAUCUAGAAAAACAAAGGCAAGCCGUGCCCCAGACAAGUCUCCAUCUCAGAAGCGGAAGUCCUUGGCAUAAGCCAACCAUAUUGGCAAAGCCCUCGCUGGGUGAAAAGUGCAAAGCGAGGACAAAGAGAUGAUGAGAAAACCAAGUCUGAACAUUUGCUUGGACAAGUUAGAGUCAAGGAGACAGAACUGGAGCUGAAAAAAGAAAUCCAAUGUUAACAGGAGGUGUCCAGUGUGUUAACGGCUGUUGUCCAAUAUGGUAGCUGCUGGCCACGUGUGGCUAUUGAACCCUGAAACGUGGCUAAUGCAACUGAGAAACUGGACUUUUAGUUUAAUUUAAUUUUAAUCAACC